Long non-coding RNA from Phyllostomus hastatus (greater spear-nosed bat), 528 nucleotides. RefSeq lists it as uncharacterized. The transcript is spliced from 3 exons. Lineage: Eukaryota; Metazoa; Chordata; Mammalia; Chiroptera; Phyllostomidae. The record is from RefSeq and is a predicted model, not a curated record.
AUUAACUCCGUGAUGGUCUAGCUUUCUCACUUCCCUUUGGUGCCGCUGACCUGUGGCCAUUUGGAUUUGGUGUCCAUGUGACAUGGCUCCUUGCUGUGCCCGCUUCGGCUGGCCAGUCUUUGCACUUCCUCUUCUCUCUCCACCACCACUGACUGGGCACACGUAGCACUGGACAGUCUCCUCCCACCCCCGUCUGUGGGAUAACAAGAGGAGUCUGUCCUGACAAUUUUGUUAGCCUCGUCGGUUUGCCACUCAAUCUCCCCCAAGAUGGACUAAAAUGGAAAGAAAUUAAUGACAGCGGCUCUUUUCUCAGCCUUGGAUGCAAUUCUUACGUAAUCUCUGUGGCCAUUUUUGGUGACUCUGCGUAGGUUAAGUACAGAAAAAAGCAAUAUUUUAGGGACUGUUGAUAGUCACCAUGGUAAUUUGAAAUUUCGAUGAUCACGAGAGACAAUGGGCUAGAUUGCAAAGCAAAUGGAUUUUCAGACAACCACUACCAUAAAUCCACCAUUAUUUCAAGGAGAUGUCUCA